Molecule: ribosomal RNA, 396 nt
Filed under: uncultured bacterium
Lineage: Bacteria
Description: bacterial SSU rRNA
Rfam family: Bacterial small subunit ribosomal RNA
Source: RNAcentral
AUAUUGCACAAUGGGGGAAACCCUGAUGCAGCAACGCCGCGUGAGCGAUGAAGGCCUUCGGGUUGUAAAGCUCUGUCUUCGGGGACGAUAAUGACGGUACCCGAGGAGGAAGCCACGGCUAACUACGUGCCAGCAGCCGCGGUAAUACGUAGGUGGCACGCGUUGUCCGGAAUUAUUGGGUGUAAAGCGCGUGCAGGCGGAUUGGAGAGUUGGAUGUGAAAGCUCCCGGCUUAACUGGGAGAGGUCGAUCAAUACUACUGGACUUGAGAGUGGUAGAGGGAGGUGGAAUUCCGGGUGUAGUGGUGAAAUGCGGAGAUAUCCGGAGGAACACCAGUGGCGAAAGCGGCCUCCUGGACCACUUCUGACGCUCAGACGCGAAAGCUAGGGUAGCGAACG